Long non-coding RNA from Gallus gallus (chicken), 14998 nucleotides. RefSeq lists it as uncharacterized. NCBI's taxonomy places the organism in Eukaryota, Metazoa, Chordata, Aves, Galliformes, Phasianidae. The transcript has 5 exons. The record is from RefSeq and is a predicted model, not a curated record.
AGUGCAAAAAUGCACGAUAAAUGAAAAGCAAGAGAUCCAGGUCCUGUCGUAGCAGAUUAGCUACAGAGUUUUGUACUGAGGUGACGGAUGCUGAGCAAGGACAGAGCCACAGAGGCAGAGGCGGGGAGAGAAAUCAUGAGAUAGAGAUUUAUCCCUGUUGGCCUGAGAAUGAAACUAAGUCCUGGCUGAAAUCCCUCUUUGUUGAAGAAGUCGCUGCAGGAGAGAAGUAUUCAAAUAAAAAGAUAAGUUUUAGAAAUUUUAUUUAAGCUAAAACAGCCUCCUUGAAAGUUUUAUGCAUCAAAGAAUAGAGAAAAAGAGCCUAACACUGAGAUCCCCCUGGCUCACAGGGACACUGCAGCCAUCCGAGCUCAGCAUUGCAGGGGUAGCUGUUCUUGCAGCCUGACAUACGCACCAGAGAAUUACCAGGUCUGACCUAGCCCAAUAGUUGCAGCAUUCUUCUCCCACCACCACUACAAAAUGAGUUGCUGAUUGGACCCACAUCAGGCAGUUGUCUGUUUUUCUUGUGGUGGAGCCAAGAUGGAAGGGGAUACUGACAUUUCUCUUAGGGACUGACUUGCAGAUGUCAUUCGCAUGAAAAUUCACCCAUCCAAACUUUACUCCCAUUUCUACUUUGUGCUGCUUCCUGUUAAAUGUCUCCAAAAUAGUGAUGAUGGUUUCAUCUUGCUGUGUUCAUCUUGGCCAGGAGAGCUGGUUUUAUCACAUCUGUAUUUUAACCACAGCCCCAGCUGAAACUAAAAUAUAUUUAAAAAGUAAAAGUAAAGCUGGAUUAACAGCAGUGGAGAUAGAUUUGUGCAAACCCAGUGCAGCUGAAAUUAGAAUCAGGCUUGCUAUGUUUUAUAACAAAGGUAAACGUGUCCUCUUUUUUCAUGGUGCUGGCAAACAAAACAUGUCUGACUCCAUUGGUCAGGCAAAGCAAUUACAUCUCUGAGGUGCUCUGAGAAGAGGCAGGCAAGAAAUGAAUAUGCUGAAGGCAGUUCAAAUUCCUUGAUGUUGAUAUGCAUUGCUGGGCAGCAAAAUGGAUACAUUUUCCUAUGGAUAAAGAACAAAGAAAGCAAGACAGUAAAAAGAGGAAUCUCUCAGCAGAUCCAGGACCAGCACGUCACUCCCUUCCCCACAUUUUAUGAGUGGUUUUGCUCAGUCUGUUUUCACUGUCCUACAUAAUUUCCCCUUUGAAAGUACUGCCAAAUUAUCCUACAGCUGUUAAGGACUAGUGGGCUAUCCCUUCAAGAGAAAGGUUAACAGAGAAUAUCCGUUUAUGUUGCUCACUAAUUAUACCCAAGACAAAAGUAAGCACAACUUAUGAUAAAAAACACCCUCACCUGUAUUACCAACAUCUAUCACCAGGACACAUCCUGACCUUCAGUUCUUUGCAGAUGGUCCUGGAAUGAGCUGUUCCCUGAACUCACUUUCAGUUCCUCACAUAAAGCCCACAUCUCUUUAAGAAGGCCAGAACCCAAACUCAGCUGCACUGGAUGAACCUGGAAGAAGUAAAGUGCAAAAGGCAGACCUUGGCCAGAGUACAUCCCACCACAUGCACUCAGUGUUAGGCCUAUAGUGCACCCAGGGAGAGGGAAGAAGAACAAGUUGGUCCAAUUUCAGCCCACGUGGUGGAUUCCUGUUUCCCAGGGAAAUUCUCAUCGUAUCCGAAUAGAUUUUCUUCCUGGCUGAAAUGUGGUGUGCACAGCUGCUAAGGGUCUGCUCUGCUGGGCUGUGAAAGGUCUCUGCAGCAAACCUCCAAACAAGCAAGGUGUGCUGGCAGGGUUAUGCUCCCAAGAUGCUGUAACUUUCGUUGUAUAGUAUUGUUAUAGUGUUCUUUUCUUUCUCUGUGAUGACAAUAGUACUUGAAGUCUCUGAACUGUCCCUGAAUGUCAUCCAGAGUUAAAUUCAGAACCUUGUGUCAGAAGCUGGAAGAGGAAGCCACAGGUAUUUCAGGAUACUGUAAUGUCUGUGCCUGGUUCUGCAUUGCUAUCUUCUGCAGAUAGAUGUGCAAAACAGGAAGCGGAGGACUGUGCUCCAUUCCACUCUGCCAUGAAUAACCGCUCCCUGAACGGGUGAGGCAAUACAAGUCGUGCUACUAAACCUCUAACAGUUUCAGAAGAAUAGUUUGGAUGGAGGUGGGGUAUUAUGUGCCCUUAUAGGAUUACAGACACUAUAUUAACAUUAAAGUUUCAUCUUUGUACUGUAUGUUUACAUCCUCUUUUGUUGAGUCUGAAGGGGCUUUUCCUCAUUUCCAGCUUGGUUCAAUCAUCUCAGCUGCCAUGACUUCUAAGACAAGGUCCUGUGUUACCGUACCAAAGGCAGACAGCAGCAAAAGGAAUCAGACAGAUUCAUCACACCACAGGCUCAUUCCUGUUGUGCACCACAGCAUGCCACUGUGCUGAGCAUCACCACUCUAUGAAUUUUAGUAAGCAUGAAAAAUAAAGAGCAGAGAGACAAACAGGUGUGCUAACGCCUUGAUCACAAUAUAUAAGAAUCAUAGAAUGGCCUGGGUUGAAAAGGACCACAGUGAUCAUCGAGUUUCAACCCCCCUGCUUUGUGCAGGGUCACCAACCACCGGACCAGGCUGCCCGGAGCCACAGCCAUAGCUUUCGUACAUCCCACAGAACAUCCCAAAAACACUUUAGGGAUUUCAGAUCUGCUACUGCCAAACAUACCAUUCUUCAGAGCACGCAAACCAAGAGCACUGUGCAUGACAAUGAGGAAAGAACCAGAUCUCUCCUAGCAAGUGGACAGCUGUGGCAGAACUAGGAGUCAUGGAUCGCCAGGGACGUGGCAGGAGCCUGCAAGGUGUACUACAGCUGAGAACAGUCACUGGGAACACAAGAAAGCAAGCCACAAAACGUGCUGACUACAGUAUGAGGGUUCUCAUCCUGAAAACAUACUGCACACAUUUUGCACUGAGGAUUAGCCCUGCUGAUAUAGUUAAGAACAUUUCCAACAUUUUAACUUAAAGAUAAUUUCAUAGUUUGCAAAUUCAGGAUCUGUGCUACCUGCCUGAAUGCUCACGGAGGAUUUCCUGAGGUUUCAUUCAUAAAAAAUAUACAUAUAAUUUUUAGCUACCCAGUGAAAACAGUCAUAUUCCUAUGCAUGGAGUAUUUCCAAAUCUGCCAACUUCUCUUUUCCUUUUUCAGUGCAUUCUCUGCAUUAAUCCAGAAAAACCCAUCCAGCAGUAUUUUAUUCAUGCCUGGACAACAGUUCAGAUCCUUAAGUUGGAAACUGUUGUUGAAAAAUGUUGUCUAGUGCCAGCUGAGCUUCUGGAAGGGCAGGGAAUUCCCCACUGAAAGGGAAAGGCACUGCUUUCAGACCUCCCCUCCCUAUCUGCCUCCAGGAAGUGAAGCUCAUUAUGUUUCCCCUGGACUUCGCAAAGCAGAAUCAUCAUCAUCUUGUUUUGUAAAGUAUGUUUUGUGUCAGGUUAACAUUACUCAACUUCUGGGAUGGUUGAAAACACAGAGAGAAUGCACAAAGGACUUUACGUUCCAGAAGCUUCUCCAUUCAAAUCUCUGAAUGCACAGAACAUAGUCAGGGUUAUUAUAGGAAACUAAAAACUAAUGAGUCACUUCUUUAAUGUUAGUGUUGAAUGUAUACUGCAGUUUGUUCAUACAGGAAAUAGUCUGCCCCAGACUGGAGCCAUGAAGGAGCAGAUGUAGUUCAGCCAAAGAGACACUGACACGUAAGCAGUUUCUGUUGUGCCUGAAUUGAGACUGAAGAACAAAACACACAGAGAUUCUGCUGUGCUUUUUAGCAAUGGAGAGAAGCAGCCUUCCCUGCAAGAAGUAAUGGUGGGUGGCCUCAGCCACUCCUCUGGGAAUAGAUCCUGGAUACAGAACUGAAGCAUCUCAGAACUAUGCUGGUUCAUGCAAAGCACUGCAAGUCCUCCACACAAGGUAACUUUCUCCGGAACAGAUGUCCUUUGUGGGUGCACACCAGGCUGCACAUUUGCAGUUUAAAGGCAUUGUGGAACAGUUAGAUCAUCUGUGUGUGGCUGACUGCAGGAAGGAGAGUUGUGUCCAUCAUGAACUCACUCUCUUCAUUGCUGUCUGACCCAAGUGUCAGCUGUACAUCAAAUGGGAACUAAUGCAUGUAGACUGGGAAAACGUGAGAACAAGGAGAGCUCCCAGUGUCCCUACCUGGAGGCAUGGCCCAUCCCAUUCAAUGGUGAGGCUGUUCCCUUUAAUUGAUCUUUGUUUCUUCUGAACAGGAAAGGCUUUUAUUUAACUACUUUUAGUAUUCACUGUGCCAGAUUUCUUUAUGGUACAAAUUGAGCUCUAUAUUUAAAGAACUGUUAGGAAACCAAUUCCAGGAUAAGACUGAAACGCCAUCUCGUUGAUGACUUAUUCUGCACGCAUCCAGAAACCCAACAACAAAGCACUCAAGCUGGCAUUACACUUUCAGCUACGCACUCAGCUUCAGAUGGGCCAAAGGAGAGGUUAAUCACCAGAUAACACAAUUGUCCUGGGAAGUAUUCCAGCAUAUGCCUGUUGCUAAGUGCCAGUACAGUUACCUCCUGCUUGAGUUCCUGCUGAAAGCUUUCCUUCCUCUGUCCCCACUGCCUGCUGCUCUCCCAUCCUGGACCUUUGAGUGCACAGCCUGCAGGUUUACUGCCCUGAAUGUGCCAUGGGCUCUGCCUCCCUGCCUGGGAGGGCAGUGAAGUGCUGCUCAGGGUGCGGUGAACAGACAGCUGUGUCUGGGGGCUUAAUAAUAUGAUUUCAUGUUACACAUCAAACAAGAAUGCAGUAAUUCAGCAACUCUAUUUUAUGCAUCUAAAGGAAACCAGAUGAAGCUCUGCAAUUUUUUUUGAAUCUCCAGAUUCCUUCUGCAAGUCACCUCAUUUCCUAAGUAUUUGUGUUCCCCAAGUCCUCUGCGGAUCAGAAUCUAAUAAGCGUGCAUACUUGCUUGGUCUUUUGGUUUAGACUUCUCACGAAGCUCCAGGUACCCUUUACAGACAGAGAAAACACCGUCUUAGGAGCAGGGCGAGAUUCACUUACAAAGCCCCAGCUUUAACCCAUCCUGCCAAGAUACAUCCUCAGUAGCUACAGCAUGCAAUAAUCCACAGUUAGUUAUUCAGUGGCACAGGGCCACAUAGACCACAAAUACUGCUGUAAUGCUAUGAUGCGAUGGACAGCACAGCAAUAAUAGCAGGGUGGCAAAGUCUCUGGCUACAACAAUAGAAGACAAGCCCAAAUACAGCAGCCACAGGCACAAAAACUAAAGAAGAAACUUUGCUUACCUUUGAAGGCCUCAAGUACGCAGGGAUCUCCAGUAAGAUGCCCUUUCCUCCACUGCCAACCCUUAAAUGAGGUCUGGGAAGGGGUGGAUCCUGGCUCCAGCCCUUCCAUUACUCAGUACGUUGCACACAGCUGAGCUCCGCUGGGUUAGCCCUGCCUUCCCACCAGGUGCUCCAUCACUGCUUCAAGCUGUGACUUAGCAUUUCUGCUACAGCUGCAUUCUUAGAGAACUCGACUGCUGGCUUUCACUUUAGCAGAUGAGUCAGUGGACCUCACAUGCCCAUUUCAUACAGCCAGGCAAAUGCUGUAGUAUGUUCAAGUUAAUACUUAAACAUGCAUCCUAGUUCAUCGUGUCUUGCUUUUCAUAUACAUGUUCUUUUGUUAAUUGUUAAUAAUAUUGUUGUUGUUAAAUUCAUUAUUGCAUUCAAUCAGAUACCUUAACCCACCGUGGAGUUCCACUGCCCACACAGUGUAAGUUUACUGGACAGUGCACACUCCAAAACAUUUCUCCUUUGAGGGCCAGACCCCCUGAAAACCUUUUAGUCCAGGUGUAGCUGAACCAACACCAGAAAGACUACGCUAAAACAGCUAUACCCUAUGGGAAGCAGAAUGGCAAUGGAGAACACAGACCUUCCUGUGCCCAUAGGCACGGCACUGCCAGCAUGGCUGGGGCUGAGCUGCGGUGCUGGAGGACCUCCAUGACAGAGGCAGGAAGCCCAGAGGUGUUGGAGGUGUGCCCGUGGCCAGACAGAAGCUGCAGGCCUUGCCUGGCUCUUAGCCUGUGUGAGCUAGGGAGUUAAUGGCCUCAGAGGUGCAUCGCAGGCAGGGUUCAGCUUUGCAAGGACUCAGGAACAGAGGAUUUGCUGCAGGUGGCUGGAGUGCAGUGACUGGCAUCCCACCAGCCUAGAGACAGUAUGGGUAAUUAUGUCAGGCUUAUUGUUAAAUCAGCAUUUCUGACUGGAGGCACUGAAAAGCUAAUUUGAUGACUGCAUCUCUCCAGAUCCUAGGUUUAUGUUAUUAAUCUCUGCAAUUGCCUUGCAUUUAUGUCUGUGGGUAGCAGAUGUCCUUAAGGCAUGAGUAUAGACAGUGUACCAGAAAGCUGAAGAGCUUGAAUUUCCUGCUCCUCAUAUGCUCUCAUGGCUUGAAUACUGAUGAGAGCCCAUGCUUGACUGGUGAGUGUUUUUCCUGUGUCUGAGGCAGCCGAGGAAUUCAGGACACAUAUAACACUGGGGUGCAGGCUGGGGCAGGAGUUCAGUUUAGUGAUGGCUAGGGAGUUCAGAUAAUUCCUCCAUUUUACUACGCUGACUGCUGUAGGAUAAGGCCAGAAGUAAACAACUGAGUUUUCAUUAACCGGUAUACAACAAGAGGCAGGGUGAGUGGCUGCAUCUCAGUUAGGACUUCUGGACUUAAAGCACUGCUCAAUUUCAUCUGUGCUAAAGCUUUUUUAAAUGGAAAUAAAAGAUGUCACUGGGAUGCGGACAGCUUGGGGUAGGUUUACUCUUAGGAUCAGAGAUCUGGAAUAAAAGAGCUGGUGACAGUUCAUUGGUAGCCCUUGCUUGGCCUCUGCCAGUGACAGUGGGGUUUCUGCUUGGUUGCUGAUUGCUCUCAUUUGUGUCCCAGGGCGCAAUGAUUUCCGUUAUGUGUAGGGUUAGAGUUAAUAUUUUGAGUUAUGUGAGAUCUGCAGAUCUUGUUUUAUGAUUUGCUAUAUGACUGACUGCAUCAGAAUUAAGAACAAAGUAUAAGGGAAUAACGAGCUUUCGUCUGCUCCAAGGCUGGGAGUCAGCAGGGUAGGACCACACUGGGAUUAGUAUGAGGAUUAACGAGAAAUUCAAGGUUGGAGAUGAUGAAGGACUCAGUUUGUUAUCUGUUCGUACAGGUUGGCCUGUAUUUUCUAUUGAGAAAUGUGUGCAUGAUUUCUGUCUGACUCUCGAGGAGGUAUCUGUCCCUUAGGGCUGGGUACAGCUGUAGGCCAUGCCUUUGGUCACACAUGCAGAUUCUUCUGGACCUUUCCCAGCUCUGCUAUGGUUGUUUUCAACAUCUGCGAUGGCACAGAACUCCAUGCAGCAUUCAGAGACACAAACGUGUAACAGGCUGACGUGGUGGCACGGUGACAACAUCUGGCUCCUUCCCCAGUUAUCCCUAACAUUGCAUUCUGUUGUUGAAUGCUGAUUUGCAAGAUUCCUCCCUGGGCUGGCGGUUCCACUCAGAAAUGGUAAGUGUCAGUCUGUAAUCAGGGACUCUGUAAUCCAUAGAUUAGUGGCUCCGUACUCUAAAUCUCCAUCUGUUGUGCACACUGGAAUCAUUACAUGUCUGGUCUCAGACCUGCUUCAGGCUUCUGAGCUUUUCCUGCAGGAUUUCCUUUGUUGUGCAAAGCGGCCCGUUGUGGCUGUCACUCGGUGCGGCAGUCACUGCACAGCGGCCCGGCGUCGGUGCAGCGCGGGCUGUGCUGCUCCUCUGUCCAAGCACGGAUGGGGCUGAGGAGUGUAUUUUUCUGCCACGUUCAGAAACGCAGCUCUCGGCAGAGCCAUGGCGCGCUUCCAACCGUGAGCAUUUUGGUACGUUUAGGCAGCCUCCCACACAACCAAAAACUGCUGCUCUCCAAAUGGGUGCAGGGAGGACAGAACCCUUUGGGGCGCACACAGCUGCGCUCAGAGAAGCGGUGAGCGUUGGCCGUGCUGCCCCGACAGCUGCAGCUGUAACACAGUGCAGUUCCUCGCUCACCAAAGCCUGUUUUACCCAAGGAUAAAAGGCUGCACAACGUGCACAGCUCUGCUCGGCUGCGUGGCACAACUGAACAGCAGCUUCUUUCUCUUCUGUGUGCAGGAGUCACAUUGAGGCUUGCACGGCCACUUGGCCACCUUCUAAAUAACCUAAAGCCCUUUAAGGAGCAUGGCCUGGAGAGUCAAAUGCAUGUAGUGUACCAGGACGGCAGCACAAAACAUCGGCACCUCAGGAAGGUGAAGUCUGGCAAAAUGACAACUUGUUCUCCAUCAUUUUCGUUGCGUUUUUAUUUUUUUCAAGCCGUGACCAGCUGUUGCUCAGCCUUCUUCCCACACGGUUUGUUCGCACUGUAUGCCAGCUCGCCUUCCAGCGCUGUUUGCGUCCCUCUGCACGGAACCCUCGCCUCAACUCUCCGACUGCCACGGCGGAGUUUUCCGCGUACAAACGGACCUCGCGCCACAACCGCCCCCGGGGAGCGGGUGGGGACGGCGGCGCAGAGAGCGGCAGCGCCCCCUGCCGGCCGGCGGCUCUCUCUGCGUCUCGCGGAGUCGCGCGCAGCGCUCGCGGCGCGGUGCUGAGGAGCCCGCGGGUAACGCAGAGCACAGGACGGUCUCCGACGCGUGGGCGAUCUGCCGUGCUGACGGGCCGGGGCUGUGCAUCACCUCCGCACUGCGCUGCCUCUCCGUAGCUGUUAACUGAAUCUCAUUCUUUUUUACAGGCUGGUGUAGGAAGUCAGCUCUCAGCAGCUCACAGCAUCGGUGUGCAGAGUUUGCAAAAGAAAUUGUGAUGUCUUUUUCAGAGCCCGAUAAGGGUGCCCCCAUCUACCUGAGCUCCCAAAACAGCAGCAUCUUCUGUUUACUUUUCCCUGGUACACAGGUGUAGCACAAAGUCAGUAAUGCAAAGAUGGGCCCAGGCAGGGAGAGCUGCCUGCCUUCCUCCCACCAACUGAUGACCUCAGCAUAUCCACUGCAGCAUGUUCCCUCCACCUGUGCUCCCAGCUGUGCUGUGCUACAGCCCCCCUGGGCCCUCCCCAUCCACCUGGGGGCUGUGAGCACAUCAAAGCAGAGCAGAGCAGGACAGAAAGGUGCGUUCCGUGUGUCUCAGUUGUUCAGCCUUAACAUGACACAGUCACGGAGCCGCAGGGGCUGGAAGGGACCUCCAGGGCUCCCCGAGCCCAACCCCACACAGCAGGCAGCACAGAAACGCAUCUGGACAGGUAUGGGUACCCCCAGAGCAGGAGACUCCCCGGCUCUCAGCAGCCUGGGCUGGGGCUCUGCUGCCCACAGCAGCACAAACAGAUUGCAGACAGACACUGAACAGCUCUGUGAAUGUAAAGUGAGAUCUUUUUUUAAAAAUGCUGCUGUUUUAUUCUUUCUUUAUACAAACUAAAACACCAGAGGUCAUUGAAUCCUAUAUUAAAUACAUAAAUUAAAAAAUAACCAUUCAUAAAACUUUACAUACAAUAAGGAUUCUCUUCUACACAUUAAUACAUAUAAUACAGAUACGUGUCCAGUGUUUAUCAAAGGGUCAUUCUGCCAAGUCAUUAACACUUCUGUUCUGGAAUAAACACACACACACACAAAAAAAAAAAAAAGAAAAGAACAAAACUCUAUUUAAAAACACACAGGGGCUGAUGUGAAAGAGGGCAGGGAAAAACAAACAAACUUUCAGUAGCCAGCAAUUGUAUGGCUGUUCAUUGAACCUCGCCCCCAUGAGAAGAAGCCUGGCCUAUCCAGUCUCAUGGGGUGCCAGAAAGCUGAAAGCUUUGAGGUUCAGAGAAUAUUCACCACUGAGAUGACAGCAGGGAGUUGGAAAAUGGAGCAAGUGUGCAAAAAAAAAAAAAAACAAAAUAAAAUUUACAUGGGUCUCCAGGCAUGCCAGUGAGAAUAGAGCUGUGAGCCAGGCUGGUAAUACUGCAAGAAGCCCUAUUUCCUUCUCAAACCAAAUUGCCUAAAUUCAUCUCACCAACUAGGUCUUUGAAGUGCUUGAAUUGAAAGAAGUGUCUUUGGACUCUCCUGAUUUGGUGGAGAAGUAGGAGAAAAAGUGGCAAGUCUGAUUUUUCUUCAGCUGACUUUCAUCAUGUACAUGCCUCAUCCACUGCUGUGAUGGUCUGGAAGUUCUGGAGUGCUGUGGUCCUGCUCCAGUACAGACAGGAGGAAUCAGGGCUAUGUUUACAGUCCUCAUUUGAGGCUGAUUUGAGGAAGGGGCUGCAGAGACUCAUUUGAGAGAACUCUCAAUACCUUGCCUCAGAGAACAUCAGGAAAAACAGAAAGCCUUGGAUGACAGCUUUAGGACAAAGAAUGGUGGAAGGAAAAAGAAAAAAAAAAAAGAAAAAUAAGGAAAAACAGAGCCACGAAGAAGUUGCACAUAAGAUGUGAGACUAAACCAUGAGUGUAGCAGCUGCUGUAGCUAAACAGGUCUAGACUGAAUUCCCCAUACCUAGACUGGAAAUAUACUUUCAUAAGCUAUAGCAAUGAUUUCCUAUAUACAAUAGGGACUAGACAGAUAGAUGUGCAUAUAUAUGUAUAUGUAUCUAUAUAACAUAGAUACAUAUAUAUAUAUAUCUCCAAACAUUUUGUAUCAAACUCAUUUUUGUCAGGCUGACUGGAGGAAGCUUGUAUUUUACCAACAAGUGUGUUUUAGGCAUGGCUCAUGUAAUGCUGCAAGGAGAAUAAAGCAGCUGUUGUUCAGCUCUCUGGAGGAACUCCAGCAAUCUUUCUAAAGUUAGCAACCAUUUACAUGUCACAUCACAGUAACCUGUGGAUGCUCUGCCACCUCCCACCCCUCCCUAAGCCCUUGGAAAUGCAGCACCUGCAUGCAUAUGUAAUAAGAAAGAGUAAGGGAGGGGAAAUCAGGCAAGAGAAAUGAGCACAAGAUGUGCACAGCACAGCUCAGAGGGCCUAAAUAAUGAAGCUUGUCACAAAAUCAGCGAGGUAUGUUCUAAAACCAGACAACGUUAUCUGUGCUAUGCUUCUGCCCUGCAAUUGUCUAUAACAAACAUUUCCAGUACGCUUUUUUUUUUUUUUUAACCAAAGCAGAGAUGGAAGUUAUUGCACCACCUUGGAAAACACGUGCUGUGCUCAUUGUUACUUAAGAUGAGCCUGGCAUUAUAAUAUCUAAGAAAAAGUUUCCAGGUUGCAUUUACUUCCCGCGUACUACUGCAGCCAAGUGGUAUGAAAUGAAAUUGUGCUCCAGCAAGGGAGAGAGAACAGUGGAAAGGGGAAGAGGGAAUAACCAGACAGGAAAAAAAAAACAACUUUUUGCAGUUAACAAGAAAUUGUGAAGUGAUCCCAGUGUGUCACAGGUGUGGGAAGAGGCUCUCAAAGGCCUGACUCCAAAGCUUCAUGACUGAAUUGGCAGCAGCACCCUUGGAAAGCACAGGUGAUAAGUUUGGGUCAACCUUACCCAUAGAUUCUUCUGCAACAUAGAGCAUGCAACAUACCAGCAUUCAUGUAACAUACCUGCCUACAAGCCUGUUAAAAAAAAUAAAAUGGGACCAACAAACACAACUUGUGCAGAAUUCAGUAAACCCCUCGACUAAAACAGAUUGCUUCAAGCAGCUCUGUUCAUUUUGCAAUUUAAAUUAAUUUUAAGGAGCAAAAAGUUGCUAGUAGCUUAUAACCUUUAAUGGAGGGCUCAACAGAACUUCCAGACAUGCACAAAAUGAGGAUGUUCUCAGUCUCUGGACAAACAGAGCCCAGUGUUGGAUCUAUAGGCAUUAAUGAGUAAAAGGUACUCUGGCUCCAAAACAUCUGAGGGACAGGCAUCCUCUGCACAAGAUUAACUUCAUUCCUGCUAUGGCCGAGGAAUAGCUUUUGCCCUGCUGAGUUGCUGUGCAAGUUACUUCACUGCUUUGUGCCUCAGUUGCCCCAUCUGUGAAAAUGAACAGGCAAACAAAGGUAAGACUCUUUGUAAAGCACUUUUAAAGCUUCUGGUAUGCAGAGUCUGUGUGCGUAAAAUUUGGAACGUGAGCCCUCUUUUGAAGGUCUAACUAAUGCACAGGCUGUCUUCUACACUGUUAUGUGGAAAUCCAUUUUUCCUAGCUGAAAUUAAGGCUCUGCUGUAGAAGACACAGCUCAAAUAAGCUUUGCCACAGGAACCUGAAGUCUGCACAGAAAAGACUCCAUUUCCAGGGAAAUAAAAACAGAGGCAGAGAAGCGCAUUGCCAUGCCUAGCUCAUACAGCACACCAUGAGAAAGGGGAAGAUGGAAGCAAAGCUGCAUCCAACAGACACAGAAGCUCGGCAGGGUUUGUUGCAGGUGCCAGCUCUCCUUGGGGUUUGCUUCUUACCGACUAAAGGGACAUGCAGCUGUGAGGGCACUGCUUGCCUGAGGGAGACACCAGGACUGGGUUCCAGACUUUGUCAUGACAAAGAUACGUAAUGCUUUGAAAUGGAAAUGAUUUCUAGUUAUUCUUAAUUAUGGAAAAAACAGACUAAUAACACUACUUCUCAUAUCUAGUAAAGAUGUCUUCACAUGGCUUUCCCCACUAUUUGGUAAACGCAUUCUUGGUCAAGAAGCCAGCUAACAAAAUCAGCUUGACAAGCCAAACCAAAACAUUUAUAGGGGUUUCUUAUGCUCAGUAGGAUCAAGGCUGGAACAAAAUACCUGAAAGCUGAUGCUUCAUGGAUCAUACAACACAGACACUGCGGAUUACUUUCUUUCCUUUCCCCUUGAACACAUCUUUUUCUUUCUCAGAAGCCAGGCUGUAGGUUCAAUCCAGUGCUCCUCCAUAUAUUGUUCUUUUAGUGAAACCAAAUAUGGAAGUCUGAGAAGUAUCCGACAAAGGACAGGCUUUUCUUCAUGCAGGGAAUAUGAAAAGGUAAGGCUACAACUCUGCCAGAAACAUUCCUCAUGCCCCACAUCUGAUUUUUCCCUCCCUCUGCCAUGUAGAAUGGUGCCUUAUAAUGAUCUCAAAUACAAAACAUGGUGUCUUGUCCUGCCCACAGUGCAAUAAGCCAGAAUAUUUUUUUUUUGCCCCCACAUUGCAGCUGUCAUUGUUCCUGAGAUGAAAACCAAAGGGAGAAAGAAAGAGCCUCCCUGCAGUGAGAAGGUCCAACAGUUCAAACAGAACACUUCAUGGUGUAAACAACGUUCUCUUCAUUGGGGGGUUGGAAGCAUUUGCCUUUCUAGGGACAAAUCUGUGUGGUCAGGUGCUCUAAAAGUAUAAGAAAAAGAACAUCAGAUAAGUUCUCUGCCUACCUAUUCAGCUGACAAACAGAAUCUAUCAGUGAGAAAAAGGAUUUCUUCUUACAUUACUAGCUAACCAGACAGACUGUUUCUCCUCCCCACCUACUGGACCCUACAGAGUACAGCCUUCUGGUCAACACAAGUUACCACAGGUAUCUUCAGGCAAAUAGUUACACAUCAGCCCAUGGAAAACUGUCAGUUUCAUUAACUCUUGUACCAAGGUUGCCUAAAAUUCACCAGAUAUGACAUCAGGUAAUGUGUUUGUGGUUUCACAACAACUCUAGGACUUUGGCUGAUUCAGCAAUGAGUGAAAUGCAGACUACUCCUAAUUCGAGGAAAUCUUUCCUGCAUAUGGAGAAGAAUUCUGGGUUUCAGAUUUGAAAUGUGGGAGAAAACAGCUUAGAUUUUCUUUGCUUCCACAGCCUUAAAAUCUACAUGGUAAAACUCACUAGGUGUGAAACUGAUGCAGACCAGACUUCCUUAUGCAAUCACAAGUGAACAUAUAUAUUUAUUCAUAAGCACAGAAAAAAAAACUGCAAAUAGUAAGUUCCCAGAAGGAGCUACAGAAUUCUGGUCUAGAUGCUAAAUACUGCUGCAUAUGGCUUCAUUCACAGACACUGCAUUCUGAUCUUGUUUCAAAUGCUUGUCCCUCCUAAUCUCAAAAAUACAGCAAUGAGCUGUGCUAAUCCUGUCAGAAAAAGAAACCAGAAUGAAUCAUCGGCAGUUGUAUCAGUUUGCUCUCAGAAUUGAAAGACUUAUCAAAUGGUUCCCUAGGUCUAUUUCAAGGAGGUCGUGUGGGGUUUUGCUGUUGUUUUAUUGUAGAUCUGUUUGAAGUCUCUUAUAAGGUUAAUUAAGUCAACAUGCAUCCAGUGGAAAUAAAGCAGUUUUGCAAAGAUCACCCUUAAUGACAUUCACCUUGGUAGUUCUAAAGAACCAGAAACUUUGAUGGCACACUGAAUUUUAUCUGCUAUUCUCUUGAGUAUUUGAUAUUAUAAAAUUUUUGUUGGCUUUUGCAAUUACAAAUGGCAUAGUAUAAUUAGCAAGCUUUGUCAGUUCAUUUACAAGAAUGUUGGACAAUGUUGGUCUGGCUGCAAUGCCAUUUGUUAAGUCAGCAGUGUGAUCACUCUCCACAAUGAACUAUUACAAGUUGACAAUAACUUUCCAGAUUCCCUGACUCUGGACAUGUAUAGGAACACACAACAGUCUGAUCGUCAGCACUGCACAAGAAAUACUACCUUUGAGGAGAAAAAUAAUGUAGUCUUACCUUUCCAAGAGGCACAUUGACAUCAAGGCCAAAGAAUAAAGGCAAGAGAGAAGAACAAGAAUAGAAAUAGAAACUGCAGAAGAAAAAGAAGACAGCAUAAAAGUAAGAAGUCGUGGCAUUGUAAGCACCAGGAUUAGUUCUUUUUGCACUCUGAAGGACAAGUUAAGUAAUUCUACAUUCAGAAUAUACUGUAUUUCCCUAGUUAGAUCUGAAAGUGUCACAUUACGAACAGAUGCCAUUUAUUUUGGUGGCAAACUAGAAUUCACACCAUACUGAAAGCCUGAGAUACAGCUGUCACUGUAAGCCACCGUGGGGUGAUGGAAGACACAAAGCUGGACAUCAAAACUAGCAUGGGUAGUAUUUUGAAGUAGGUUAAAAAAACAGUGCCUGCCAUUUAUGCUGGAAAUAACCUGCAACUACAUGUAUACACACACACACACGGUUAUACAGUAUGCAAACCUAACCAUUAUAUUUUGAAAAACAAACUGGAUGUGUCAUUUUAAUCAUUAAUGAUCUCCUGGAAUGUGAAUUUUAUGAAUAAAAAAUUCUGUGGAAUAUUGGCACUAAGAAGUCUCGUA